GGGUCAGUAGGUUGGUCGUGCCACCGGUACGUACUGGUCUCACUGAUUCCUCCUUCCUGAAGAACCGUAAUGCCAUUAAUUCGGUGUUGCGGGGAAACAGGACUGUUACUUUGAAAAAAUUAGAGUGUUUAAAGCAAGCUAACGCUUGAAUACAUUAGCAUGGAAUAAUGAAAUAGGACGAUCAAUCCUAUUUUGUUGGUUUCUAGGAUUGACGUA
RNAcentral lists this ribosomal RNA (216 nucleotides) under Glomeromycotina sp. Its description in RNAcentral is "partial small subunit ribosomal RNA". The stretch from base 87 to 216 matches the Rfam family "Eukaryotic small subunit ribosomal RNA", at positions 733 to 864 of the family's 1831-position model. The record is from RNAcentral. Lineage: Eukaryota; Fungi; Glomeromycota.